UAGAUGCGAGAGUAGAGCAUAUCAAUAAGCGGAGGAAAAGAAACUAACAAGGAUUCCCUUAGUAACGGCGAGUGAAGCGGGAAGAGCUCAAAUUUGAAAUCUUCAAGGUUCUACCUUGACGAAUUGUAGUUUAUAGAAGUGUUUUCUGUUAGUGGAGUGGCAAAAGUUCUUUGGAAUAGGACAUCAUAGAGGGUGAGAAUCCCGUAUUUGGUCAUUCCUCCUAGCGUUGUGAUACACUUUCAACGAGUCGGAUUGUUUGGGAAUGCAGUCCAAAAUGGGUGGUAAAUUUCAUCUAAAGCUAAAUAUUGGCGAGAGACCGAUAGCGAGCAAGUACCGUGAGGGAAAGAUGAAAAGAACUUUGAAAAGAGAGUUAAACAGUACGUGAAAUUGUCAAAAGGGAAGCGUUUGACACCAGUGUUGUUUUUCCGAAAAUCAAUUACGAAUGUUUUAUUUUUGAGAAGUUAUGACUUCAUCGGCUUGCUUCUCUCUUUAUGAAACUUUCUUAAUGCACUUUUCGGUUAACAAGUCAACAUCAAUUUCCUUUGCUGUAAAAGGGUAUGAGGAAGGUGGCUUUCAUUUCGGUUAGAAAGUGUUUAUAGCCUUGUAUCUCUGCAAUCGGAGAGAUUGAGGUCUGCAGCGUAGAUCCUUCGGGGCUAGAUACAUUUGUGCUAAGUUAUAGCUUUUCAUAGACAACUUGUUGACUAUGUUUAGUCAUGUAGCUUACUCGUAAGUGCUAUUUUACCUACGCUUAGGAUGUUGACACACGCGCGUGCUCG
Molecule: ribosomal RNA, 776 nt
Filed under: uncultured Neocallimastigales
Lineage: Eukaryota; Fungi; Neocallimastigomycota; Neocallimastigomycetes; Neocallimastigales
Description: partial large subunit ribosomal RNA
Rfam family: Eukaryotic large subunit ribosomal RNA
Source: RNAcentral